GAUGAACGCUAGCUACAGGCUUAACACAUGCAAGUCGAGGGGCAGCAUUUCAGUUUGCUUGCAAACUGGAGAUGGCGACCGGCGCACGGGUGAGUAACACGUAUCCAACCUGCCGAUAACUCGGGGAUAGCCUUUCGAAAGAAAGAUUAAUACCCGAUGGUAUAAUCAGACCGCAUGGUCUUGUUAUUAAAGAAUUUCGGUUAUCGAUGGGGAUGCGUUCCAUUAGGCAGUUGGUGAGGUAACGGCUCACCAAACCUUCGAUGGAUAGGGGUUCUGAGAGGAAGGUCCCCCACAUUGGAACUGAGACACGGUCCAGACUCCUACGGGAGGCAGCAGUGAGGAAUAUUGGUCAAUGGGCGCAGGCCUGAACCAGCCAAGUAGCGUGAAGGAUGACUGCCCUAUGGGUUGUAAACUUCUUUUAUAUGGGAAUAAAGUUUUCCACGUGUGGAAUUUUGUAUGUACCAUAUGAAUAAGGAUCGGCUAACUCCGUGCCAGCAGCCGCGGUAAUACGGAGGAUCCGAGCGUUAUCCGGAUUUAUUGGGUUUAAAGGGAGCGUAGGUGGACAGUUAAGUCAGUUGUGAAAGUUUGCGGCUCAACCGUAAAAUUGCAGUUGAUACUGGCUGUCUUGAGUACAGUAGAGGUGGGCGGAAUUCGUGGUGUAGCGGUGAAAUGCUUAGAUAUCACGAAGAACUCCGAUUGCGAAGGCAGCUCACUGGACUGCAACUGACACUGAUGCUCGAAAGUGUGGGUAUCAAACAGGAUUAGAUACCCUGGUAGUCCACACAGUAAACGAUGAAUACUCGCUGUUUGCGAUAUACAGUAAGCGGCCAAGCGAAAGCAUUAAGUAUUCCACCUGGGGAGUACGCCGGCAACGGUGAAACUCAAAGGAAUUGACGGGGGCCCGCACAAGCGGAGGAACAUGUGGUUUAAUUCGAUGAUACGCGAGGAACCUUACCCGGGCUUAAAUUGCAUUUGAAUAUAUUGGAAACAGUAUAGCCGUAAGGCAAAUGUGAAGGUGCUGCAUGGUUGUCGUCAGCUCGUGCCGUGAGGUGUCGGCUUAAGUGCCAUAACGAGCGCAACCCUUAUCUUUAGUUACUAACAGGUCAUGCUGAGGACUCUAGAGAGACUGCCGUCGUAAGAUGUGAGGAAGGUGGGGAUGACGUCAAAUCAGCACGGCCCUUACGUCCGGGGCUACACACGUGUUACAAUGGGGGGUACAGAAGGCAGCUACCUGGUGACAGGAUGCUAAUCCCAAAAGCCUCUCUCAGUUCGGAUCGAAGUCUGCAACCCGACUUCGUGAAGCUGGAUUCGCUAGUAAUCGCGCAUCAGCCAUGGCGCGGUGAAUACGUUCCCGGGCCU
RNAcentral lists this ribosomal RNA (1359 nucleotides) under uncultured bacterium. RNAcentral's name for it is "bacterial SSU rRNA". It matches the Rfam family "Bacterial small subunit ribosomal RNA", at positions 28 to 1381 of the family's 1533-position model. The record is from RNAcentral.